UGGGGAAUUUUUGACAAUGGGGGAAACCCUGAUCCAGCCAUCCCGCGUGUGCGAUGAAGGCCUUCGGGUUGUAAAGCACUUUUGGCAGGAAAGAAACGUCAUGGGUUAAUACCCCGUGAAACUGACGGUACCUGCAGAAUAAGCACCGGCUAACUACGUGCCAGCAGCCGCGGUAAUACGGAGGGUGCAAGCGUUAAUCGGAAUUACUGGGCGUAAAGCGUGCGCAGGCGGUUCGGAAAGAAAGAUGUGAAAUCCCAGAGCUCAACUUUGGAACUGCAUUUUUAACUAACGGGCGAGAGUGUGUCAGAGGGAGGUGGAAUUCCGCGUGUAGCAGUGAAAUGCGUAGAUAUGCGGAGGAACACCGAUGGCGAAGGAAGCCUCCUGGGAUAACACUGACGCUCAUGAACGAAAGCGUGGGGAGCAAACAGG
Molecule: ribosomal RNA, 429 nt
Filed under: Acidobacteriota bacterium
Lineage: Bacteria; Pseudomonadati; Acidobacteriota
Description: Acidobacteria bacterium partial 16S ribosomal RNA
Rfam family: Bacterial small subunit ribosomal RNA
Source: RNAcentral